RNAcentral lists this ribosomal RNA (496 nucleotides) under uncultured bacterium. Its description in RNAcentral is "partial 16S ribosomal RNA". It matches the Rfam family "Bacterial small subunit ribosomal RNA", at positions 28 to 506 of the family's 1533-position model. The record is from RNAcentral.
GAUGAACGCUGGCGGCGUGCCUAAUACAUGCAAGUCGAGCGAACAGACGAGGAGCUUGCUCCUCUGACGUUAGCGGCGGACGGGUGAGUAACACGUGGAUAACCUACCUAUAAGACUGGGAUAACUUCGGGAAACCGGAGCUACUACCGGAUAAUAUAUUGAACCGCAUGGUUCAAUAGUGAAAGACGGUUUUGCUGUCACUUAUAGAUGGAUCCGCGCCGCAUUAGCUAGUUGGUAAGGUAACGGCUUACCAAGGCAACGAUGCGUAGCCGACCUGGGAGGGUGAUCGGCCACACGGGACAUGGGAAGCGGUCCAGAACCAGACGGGAGGCAGGAGUAGGAAAUCUUCCGGAAGGGGCGAAGGCGUAACGGGGCAACGCGGCGUGAGUGAUGAAGGGCUUCGGAUCGUAAAACUCUGUGAUUAGAGAAGAACAAAUGUGUAAGUAACUAUGCGCGUCUGAACGGUACCGAAGCAGAAGGCCAGGGUUAACUACGU